AUAUGACCAACUUCUGGCCAACUGAAUGAGGCACAAUUUUACAUCAUACCUGAAGCAGAGAUCUCGAGAAGAUAUAUUAUGUAAUCUGCCUUCCAGCAUCACCAAUAAACUUCUAAUUAUCCAUACAACACACUUAACAUCUCCUGAUUGAUGAGCCAAAUCCAUAGUAACAACCUCCCCUCAUCCAAAGAAGACAAGAUCAAGUUCUAAGCUAGCAGAGAACAAAAUCAUAUACUUUAUUCAAAGGCAAAUCCUAGCUGUGUGGAAGUCUAAUAAAUCAUCAUUGAAUACAGAAGGGAUUCAGCUGAAAUCUGUGCAGUCUCAGAUGUACAGCCAACACUGCAGCACUGUCCUUCAAGCCUUUGCAGGUUUACUGCUCUAAAUGUAUCAAGUCCACCUGGGAAGGCCAUCACCCGUGGUGCCUUGCAGUCUCUGAGGCCCCACUACGUGAAAUGUCCUGGUCCAUAAUCACAGUGACUUGACUAAGCACACUUUCCAUUCAUUCUUUCCCUGACUAUCAAGCUCAAGAGAUGAAAAAACUACAGAGAAGCAGGUGAAGGAUCAGUGGAAUUUCGUGGCAAAAAAAAUCACUGCUGGCACACACGGAUCAAAGGGGGAAGAUUGGUGUGUUCUGGGAAAUAAUGCACUCCUUCAGUUAAAUGCCCUGAAGUCUGGGAAGAUGAGAGUCAAGCAGGUGCAUUUCCUUCAAAUGGGCCAUAUGUAGGCAUUUAUUUAGGCAGCAAGAGCAUUGGGCUGUGAAGUAGUGACAUUCAGAUUAAUGAAGUUGAGAGGAAAGGGGCCAUGACAUGAUUGAAAUCAUUUAAAGAACAAAUAUUUAUUGAGCAUUUCAAGUCAGACAGAGCUAAUGCCAUGUGACAAGACAGAGUGUCUGUCCCCAUGGUCUAGUGUGGAAGGCAAACCAACCAGCCAUUGUAAUAGUGUGCUCAGUGCCAGAAGGCAACAGUGUGAUAAGACAAAUAGGAGGGGACUCAGAUCUAGUUUGGCAAGUGGGGAAUAGGACGGCUCUUCCUAAAAGACACUAUAGGUAAAUGGAGGUCAGAAAUAUGU
RNAcentral lists this long non-coding RNA (1068 nucleotides) under Homo sapiens (human). RNAcentral's name for it is "HSALNT0179361". The record is from RNAcentral. Lineage: Eukaryota; Metazoa; Chordata; Mammalia; Primates; Hominidae.